GGUCUCUUAGUGUAGUGGUAGCACGACAGCUUCCAAACCUGUCAGCCUGAGUUCGAUUCUUAGAGAGACUG
RNAcentral lists this transfer RNA (71 nucleotides) under Vagococcus penaei. RNAcentral's name for it is "tRNA-Trp". It matches the Rfam family "tRNA". Rfam says of the family: Transfer RNA (tRNA) molecules are approximately 80 nucleotides in length. Their secondary structure includes four short double-helical elements and three loops (D, anti-codon, and T loops). The record is from RNAcentral. Lineage: Bacteria; Bacillati; Bacillota; Bacilli; Lactobacillales; Enterococcaceae.